RNAcentral lists this long non-coding RNA (499 nucleotides) under Homo sapiens (human). RNAcentral describes it as "non-protein coding lnc-OR2AT4-3:1". The record is from RNAcentral. Lineage: Eukaryota; Metazoa; Chordata; Mammalia; Primates; Hominidae.
UGAUCCACCCGCCUCAGCCUCCCAAAGUGCUAGGAUUACAGGCAUGAGCCACCACUCCCAGCCAGCUCUUUCUUAUAGUAGAAUUCCAACUAGAAAAUGUAGAAGGAAUGAGGGAAAUAGAAAGUCACUAUUCAAACACUACAGUAAUAAUUUUUGUAGGUAAGAACCAUUAUAGGAUGUUGCAUUAGAGUUCUUCAGAGAAACAGAACUGGUAGUAGAUAAACAGGACUAGUAGGAGAUAGGUAGGUAGGUGGGUAGACAGAUUUUUUUUUUCAAGGAAUUGACUUUGUGUGAUUGUGGGGGAUGGCAAGUCCAAAAUUCGUAGGGCAGGCUGGCAAGCUGGAAACCCCUGGGGAGGAGCUGAAGCUGUAGUGUUAAAGCAAAAUUUCCUCUUCCUCUAGGAAACCUGUUUUGCUCUUAAUGUCUUUCAAUUCAUUGGGUGAGGGCACUCACAUUAUCAAGGAUAAUCUCUUUUACUUAACAUCAACUUAUUGUAAAU